Molecule: ribosomal RNA, 466 nt
Filed under: uncultured Acholeplasma sp.
Lineage: Bacteria; Bacillati; Mycoplasmatota; Mollicutes; Acholeplasmatales; Acholeplasmataceae
Description: bacterial SSU rRNA
Rfam family: Bacterial small subunit ribosomal RNA
Source: RNAcentral
ACGGGAACCCGCACAAGCGGUGGAGUAUGUUGUUUAAUUCGAAGAUACACGAAGAACCUUACCAGGUCUUGACAUACCAUUGACAGGCGCAGAGAUGUGCUCUCCUUCGGGCAAUGGAUACAGGUGGUGCAUGGUUGUCGUCAGCUCGUGCCGUGAGGUGUUGGGUUAAGUCCCGCAACGAGCGCAACCCUUAUUGCUAGUUACCAUCAUUAAGUUGGGGACUCUAGCGAGACUGCCAGUGAUAAACUGGAGGAAGGUGGGGAUGACGUCAAAUCAUCAUGCCCCUUAUGACCUGGGCUACAAACGUGAUACAAUGGCUGGAACAGAGGGCAGCGAAGCAGUGAUGUGAAGCGAAACCCAAAAAUACAGUCUCAGUUCGGAUUGAAGUCUGCAACUCGACUUCAUGAAGUUGGAAUCGCUAGUAAUCGCGGAUCAGAACGCCGCGGUGAAUACGUUCUCGGGGUUU